UAAUACGUAGGGUGCGAGCGUUGUCCGGAAUUAUUGGGCGUAAAGGGCUCGUAGGCGGUUUGUCGCGUCGGGAGUGAAAACGCCGGGCUUAACUCGGUGCUUGCUUCCGAUACGGGCAGACUAGAGGUAUGCAGGGGAGAACGGAAUUCCUGGUGUAGCGGUGAAAUGCGCAGAUAUCAGGAGGAACACCGGUGGCGAAGGCGGUUCUCUGGGCAUUACCUGACGCUGAGGAGCGAAAGUGUGGGGAGCGAACAGGAUUAGAUACCCUGGUAGUCCACACCGUAAACGUUGGGCGCUAGGUGUGGGAUCCAUUCCACGGGUUCCGUGCCGCAGCUAACGCAUUAAGCGCCCCGCCUGGGGAGUACGGCCGCAAGGCU
Molecule: ribosomal RNA, 377 nt
Filed under: uncultured bacterium
Lineage: Bacteria
Description: bacterial SSU rRNA
Rfam family: Bacterial small subunit ribosomal RNA
Source: RNAcentral